RNAcentral lists this transfer RNA (65 nucleotides) under Curculionoidea sp. 7 KM-2017. Its description in RNAcentral is "tRNA-Ala". The record is from RNAcentral. Lineage: Eukaryota; Metazoa; Arthropoda; Insecta; Coleoptera.
AGGAUAAUAGUUUAAAAAAAACAUUUUAAUUGCAUUAAAAAUUUAUUGGAAUUCAAUUUAUCUUA